RNAcentral lists this long non-coding RNA (473 nucleotides) under Elaeis guineensis (African oil palm). RNAcentral describes it as "long non-coding RNA (EGUI_LNC068968)". Lineage: Eukaryota; Viridiplantae; Streptophyta; Magnoliopsida; Arecales; Arecaceae. The record is from RNAcentral.
GUCCAUCGAUCUUUCCUCACCUUAGCCUCUUGGCUGUUGUUUAUCCUUUUGUUUGUGGUGUUUAUUAGUUUUUUCCUCCAUGGAAUAGAAUUUUUGUGAUCCAUCCAUUUAAUUUCUUCCCCAAACCUCACAAAAUUUCAUGCUUCUAGCAAAAUUAAGCUCUCAAAAUCUCAAGGGACCUACUCACACCAGCACAACUCUUACAAAAUCCCAGAUGCUUGAGAAACCCCCAAUCGGAACCUAAGAAGCUUAUAAAGUUUCUUUAGCCGAAACCACAUUAAGAACCGGUGGCAAAGAGAAAUGAAGCGGAAACAUAAAAGACUUCAAAUUUGUAGGUUUUCUUCAUAUAAUAUGUGGAAAAAGGAAACCUUUACUCAAUAUCUUCUCCGUGAACAACAGUGCUUACAUGAAAAAAGGCUUCUUUCUCCGAAUCUAAAUAUUUAUAAGGUUUUAGCGAUCCAAACACGAGAGUC